This 407-nucleotide ribosomal RNA is filed under the name uncultured Corynebacterium sp. RNAcentral describes it as "bacterial SSU rRNA". It matches the Rfam family "Bacterial small subunit ribosomal RNA", at positions 356 to 774 of the family's 1533-position model. Lineage: Bacteria; Bacillati; Actinomycetota; Actinomycetes; Mycobacteriales; Corynebacteriaceae. The record is from RNAcentral.
GGGGAAUAUUGCACAAUGGGCGCAAGCCUGAUGCAGCGACGCCGCGCGGGGGAUGACGGCCUUCGGGUUGUAAACUCCUUUCGCUAGGGCCUAAGCGCAAGUGACGGUACCUGGAGAUGAAGCACCGGCCAACUACGUGCCAGCAGCCGCGGUAAUACGUAGGGUGCGAGCGUUGUCCGGAAUUACUGGGCGUAAAGAGCUCGUAGGUGGUUUGUCGCGUCGUUUGUGUAAGCCCGCAGCUUAACUGCGGGACUGCAGGCGAUACGGGCAUAACUUGAGUGCUGUAGGGGAGACUGGAAUUCCUGGUGUAGCGGUGGAAUGCGCAGUUAUCAGGAGGAACACCGAUGGCGAAGGCAGGUCUCUGGGCAGUAACUGACGCUGAGGAGCGAAAGCAUGGGUAGCGAACA